Molecule: long non-coding RNA, 2402 nt
Organism: Herpailurus yagouaroundi (jaguarundi)
Lineage: Eukaryota; Metazoa; Chordata; Mammalia; Carnivora; Felidae
Exons: 5
Source: RefSeq, a predicted model, not a curated record
CCUUGGCCGCCUGCGCGGUCCCAGGGUGUGGGAAGAGGUCAAAACGAAAGGGCCGGGAAGCACGGCCCCCGCGGGGAAUCCUAGCCCAGUUCUGGGCGUGGCAUCAUUCUCCCACCACCACCUAGUUCCCACCCCCUCGCUGCCUCGCGUUCACUUCCCCUCAGGGACGCAUCCGCCUUCCAAGUUCACAUCGCACCUUUUUGCGCAAGGGACUUCCUCCAGGCCAGGCCAUCCUGCUCUGUGCUGGGUGUCCCUGUGAGCGGCCAGCAGAAGCCGAGUGAAGCGCAUGCCAGUUUGGACUCUGGGAACUCACCGCUCUCGGGGUAACGGAACCUACCUCUGGGGGCACCACAGUGCUUCUCGGAGUAUGGUAAAAACCUCUUCUCCCUUCCUAGACUCAACAACUCUGUGCACCAGCCAGUUUCCCGUCCUCUGAGAUGUCUGACUCCUCCUGGUCUUACAGGUUAACUUACUUGGUGAUCAGAAGUGGGAUGCGAAGAAGACCCCCAGCAACUCGGAGGCUGGUGAACAAACCCGACAGCACCCACAGAGCCAGUUGGGCUCACUGCUUUCUCGCUGACCCUGGAGUUUGCGCCCUGAUAGAGAUAUCCAAAAAACUGGUCCAAAGAGGAUAGAAGCCCCAGGUGGCUCUCAGGUUGCUUUCUGAACCAGGUCCUAAAUCCAACAACCGGUGUCCUUAUAAGAGGCAGAAGAGGAGAAGAUGCAAACUAUAGAGAAGGCCAUGGCCAUGUGGAAACAGAGAUAAAAGAAGCCACAAGCCAAGGAAUGUCUAAAGCCAUCAGAAGCUGGAAGGGGCAAUUCUGCAGGAGAAUGCUGGUCACCGUGAUUCAGGGAACCCCCUCCAGCUGUGUCUCCUGUUGGUUACUCUGAAUGCCUGGCUCACAUGGGGUCUUUCCACUUCCUUCAGGCACAGGUGUCCCCUUCUCCUCCAAUCUGAAAGUUUGCUUUAUUUCACUUUUACAAAAGACCCACAUCAGCACCGACUUUUGCUAGUGGAAGGAAAUCUGAAGCGGAUUUUCGCCUUUAGGAACUGGUCAUUGUUGUUUUGCUUUGUGCCAUUUCCGUUUAGGAAAGGGAUUAUAGGAACAUUCUACUUUCAGAAAACAGGGAAUCUAUUCCCGUCUCCCACCUCCUUCCCUUUGCUUUGGUGUCCUGGUUCAGAAGGUGUCAGGAGGGUGGUUUGGGAUUGGGUCUCUCUCCCUCCUCUGCUGCCGCCUAGGUUCCUGCCCUGUCUGACCACAGCAUUCAGUGUGCCGGGUCCCCCACGUGUCAGGGAAGGGGGCAUGAGACGUUUACAGAGAGGGGUUAUUACUGCCUUUCAAGUGCUCACAACCCAUGUGGAGGGAUAAUGAGUAAAACCUGACAGAAACCCACCUGCAUCAUCCUGUGAAUUUCACUAUCUUCCUGGUGACUAUUUUCUAUUCUCUAAGGGCUGAGGUGGGAAUUAAAGUUAUUAUUUCUUGUUGGUAGGGUGGGGAUAGAGGGACAGCCGGGCAGUGAAAACACAGCCUAACUUAUUUUUGGAAACCUCAGAGCAGAAGCUGUUGUCUUGGUAUUCUAGUUGCCCAGUAUCCCCAGAUUACCCAACAAAGCAGGCGCCAUCUAACCAGGCGGAUUCUGGAAAGAGUAGCUCAUUGGGGAGUCACGGCAGCGUCCACGAUCACCAGCAACAGCACCGGGACCGCCGGGGCUGUCCAACCACCACCAGGUGGCACCAAAGCGCAGCCGAGACCUGGAGAUUCGCGUCCUGCCACCUCAGAUAGGAGAAGUUGGGGAUGCCAGAGAAUCAGAUGCUGCGUGGGUGUCUUGAGAAAGGCCACGGUCCUCUGCUCCCUCCCUUGCCCCCAGGGUCAGAGCUCUCCUGAAAGGAUAUCCCUCCCCUAGUUAGGGAUGUGAGGUCCCAAAGUGGAGACUCUCUGGGAGGACAGGCAGGCACCUGGAGAGGUGUCAAGAUGGUAUCAGGACCAGAGGACCCGAGGACCUGAGUAUGGGAGGUUUCACAAACGUGGCUGGGAGGGGGCCGGCAGAGUAGAAGUGGCCAUGAGGUCUGGGCCAGUAGCGCGUGUGCUCAAACCGGGAAGUGAGGGAGACAGGCCAGGAAUCUAUGUUCUGCAUAGCUGUGGCAGGUGACAGGCCUGGGAGGAGAAAACCAUCUAUCUCAAGGGAUGUCACAGCGGGCAGGAAAUGGCCUCAAAACAUUCGGAUGACCUUCCUGGAAGGCAACAAGGGUUCCCCUUACUUAGAUGUGGGAAGGAGAAAUCCCUAAUUGAUGGAAAAUCCUGAAAAAACAGGAAUGCCAGAGUUUGCCUGGAAGUGGCUAAUAUUUGUGGGUGGUUGGUGGGUUUUAUUUUUUUAAUGGCCAUUAGGAAUAAUAGGCCUCA